Anolis carolinensis (green anole) is the source of this 121-nucleotide small nuclear RNA. Its record names the gene U2. It matches the Rfam family "U2 spliceosomal RNA". Rfam says of the family: U2 is a small nuclear RNA (snRNA) component of the spliceosome (involved in pre-mRNA splicing). Complementary binding between U2 snRNA (in an area lying towards the 5' end but 3' to hairpin I) and the branchpoint sequence (BPS) of the intron results the bulging out of an unpaired adenosine, on the BPS, which initiates a nucleophilic attack at the intronic 5' splice site, thus starting the first of two transesterification reactions that mediate splicing. NCBI's taxonomy places the organism in Eukaryota, Metazoa, Chordata, Lepidosauria, Squamata, Anolidae. The record is from Ensembl.
AUUACUUCUCAGCCUUUUGGCUAAGACCAACUGUAGUAUCUGUUCUUUUCAGUUUAAUAUCUGAUGUGAUCUCUAGAGAACUAUAUCUUAAAUGGGUCCUGUGAUAGCAACAUCAGCCCUU